Molecule: small RNA, 552 nt
Filed under: Pan troglodytes (chimpanzee)
Lineage: Eukaryota; Metazoa; Chordata; Mammalia; Primates; Hominidae
Description: retained intron
Source: RNAcentral
AGGUAUUAUGUUUGGCUUUCUCAGUGCUUUUUCAAAAAUGUUAACUUUAACUGGCAAUGUAGUAAAUGUGUGUGGUUUGUUUUUUAAGGAAAUAGACAAACUGAAAGGAGAGCUUAUAGAAAUGAACCUACAAAUAGUUGACAGAGCCAUUCAGGUAGUUCGAAGUGCUUUAGCUAACCAGAUAGAUUGGACAGAAAUUGGGUUAAUUGUGAAAGAAGCCCAGGCUCAAGGAGACCCUGUUGCAAGUGCAAUCAAAGAAUUAAAACUACAAACAAACCAUGUUACAAUGCUGCUAAGAAAUCCAUACUUGUUAUCAGAGGAGGAAGAUGAUGAUGUUGAUGGUGACGUCAAUGUUGAGAAAAAUGAAACCGAACCACCAAAAGGAAAAAAGAAAAAACAAAAGAAUAAACAGCUGCAGAAGCCUCAGAAAAAUAAGCCGUUACUUGUAGAUGUUGAUCUCAGCUUGUCAGCAUAUGCCAAUGCCAAAAAGUAUUAUGAUCACAAGAGAUAUGCUGCUAAGAAAACACAAAAGACUGUUGAAGCUGCUGAGAA